GGGCUAAGGGGCGGUCUCUUGGGUACAUUAAGACAUAACUCCUCAAUAAAAGCGUGUAUUUCCAGUUUAGGAAGAGAGAAAGUCUAAUUCCACUAGAUAAACUUUAAUUUAACUCUUGAAUAUGAAUUCAACCAGAGUGGGAGACUAAAAAAGUAGUGGCAGGAAGCAGCACACCAGGAGGUGCAGGAUAUUUUAUAUUUUAAACAUUCCAAUCGAUCGGCCUCAUCUUUCCGGAAGAAUUACCAUAGGUGUCUCCGGCUGGAAAGGGUUUUUUGAAGAGGGUACCGCACUUCCGUUCCUCUUCCUCUUCCGAAUCCUCUUCCGAAUCCGAAUCCGAUUCCUCUUCCGAAUCCGAAUCCGAGCGCGGAACAUAUCAAAUUAAGUUAGCCAAGCCCAAGAGCUGAUACCACACUCGUUGAACCCGAAAUGCUCACUGAAGCAAGCAAGACGUGGGAUCUUACUAUACGAUCGACCUCUCAUUUCCCGAAGCCGGAAGAGAACCUGCCUUAAGAAAGCAAACUCUUCAAGAUUUAUAUGGGCUUAGAGUUAGCUAGACUCAAUGAUAAAUCGAGUAUCGUUCUCUAGACGUACACAGGGUCUGGUUAGGGUUUGAGGGAGGCUGGCGAGUCCCGUCUUCGACCUCCACUCAACCUCGGCAGUCAGAGUAUUAGUAGGAAUUGCAAGUAUGGGUAGCUACGUCAUCUCUUUGGUAUGCUCAUCUCAUACCGUCUCAUGUCGGUCGUGAUGGACUUUGAGACCUACCCUAAACUCUUUGAGGCGCUCAGGCUUCUCCUCAACUGAGCUCAUCUUCUUCAUUGGCACCGAAAAGAGAGAUCGUCCAAUGGCGUCAUAGAAGAUAGUUAGACCUAACCCCAUGAACUGAAGGAAGGCAACUAAGAAAAUCAAUCAUUCCUCUCGCAAAGCUGUACCGAUUUCAUACCUUAGCCCUAACGAGCUGCUCUCGCUCUUCAAACCUCCCUUCCUUUAGCUGUAGGCUUGAACUCAAUCCCUGUAACGAAGUAAGAGAUGCCUUCUCGUGGUAAUACCCUCUCCUUUCUUCCGGUCGAGCGUCUUCAAACCAAAGCUAUAAGCUACGGUAUCGAAUGACUUUCUAUUCUAUUCAAAAGCAGUAGCUUGUUCGGUCGAGAUACAUAGUAGCGUCUCCUUUACUUUACAGUCGAGUAAGUAGGUGCCUUGACUUUAGUCUUUUUGAUUAGGGUAGGUUUAGGAGAGAGCGGAGCUAAAGCCCUGCCAUAGUAGCGAGUCUGUUUAUAGUCACAGGAUGGGAAAAGUACCGGUACCGAUGCUAAGAAUUGGCAAGUAAGCCCAGAAGGAAGAAGUCUUAACUAAGGCCCAAAGCCAAUCCCAGGGAAGAGUUCUUUGAGGCAAGAAGAGAAGCAAGGUACGAAGUUCUCGACUGUAAAGGAGAGGGACGGCGAGGAAUUGAAGACAGACUGACUGCCGCAGAAGACCGGUAUAAGCAGUUCAAAAGAAAUGCUCCCAAAAGGAGUGACUUUACUGACUAGUAAGACUGAGACUGAUACCGAUACAUCAAUACGCAAUUCCAUUUCCCGAUUCAAUUAGCUUGGCGAAUUGCUUUCAUUUAUUCUGAUAUCUAUCUUCUACUCUUUCCUUAUCCUUAAUUUCACACUAAGAUCAUCUACCCUCUCGCUUUGCUCGAGCUGCUAUCUCUCCUUUGCUCAAGUGCUAAGCUAAUUCUAAGCUUAGUUGAAAGGCUAAGGUUACUAUCUAGCUGCUAUCCCGAUAGGGAGAUCAAGACUUAUAAUACAAGGAGAGGAGAGGGUGCUAUAGCAGAAGCAGGAGAUAAAUCAAACUAUCUUCAUUCUAAGGCAAACUUACUCUCCCUACGAUAAUAUGGAUCGGUUACUAUUGAUAUUAAGCCAAAGCUAGCCACUCGCUCUCAAAACUCUCCUUAUCUAAAGUCUUCUUCUUCUCGUUCGUGCCCAAUAUAAUAGGUAUUUAAAACUUAAUUCUCCGUAGAUUAAAUAAUCUUUUCUAUUGCUUCCCUUUUCUUGCUCCUUGCUUCUUUGCCAACUCUUCUAAAGCUUCUCGCUAAUGUAGAAUUUCUUCCAUUUUGCUCUAACGGGGCAUCUACGGCCUUUUCAGGUCUGAAUCUGUAUGAUAAGGACGAGGGAAGAUGAUGUUCAUGUUCUUAGCUCGAGCAACAUAGUAAGCAAAGCUUUAGGAUUGAAAAAGCUCUCCCGAUAGUCCAAGGUUUUCAAACCUUGGUAUACUCUACUUCAAGGCCCAAGAAAUGCCUUAACUCACCAAGUUCCUUCAUCUGGAAGCGUACCGAUAGAUUAGUCUUCGUCUGAGCAAUCUCCUUUUCAUCAUCUCCAGUGAUGAUUAGAUCAUCCACGUAUACUAGUACAAUUGCUAGCCUUUCAUCUUGAGCUUUCACGAAGAAGCUUGAGUCUGCUGGAGCCACUGUGUAAGCACUUUGCGUUAGGAAUUCUGCGAUUUUUCCGUACCAAGCUCGUGGUGUGCUUGCUUUAACCCAUAAAGAGCCUUCUUUAACUUGCACACGUGAUCCGGGUGAGCCUUGCUCCUAAAUCCUUGUGGCUGCUCCAUAUAUAUUUAUCUAUCCAAUUAUCCGUGUAGGAAUGCCAUCUUCACAUCCAUCUGCCAAAGCUUCCAUGACUUGCUUGCAGCGAGUGCUAGUAGAACUCUGACUCUUGUAAUCUUUGCUACUGGGCUAAAAGUUUCGUCAUAGUCAAGCCCAUACAGUUGAGAGAACCCGCGCGCAAGCAGCCUCGCUUUGUACCUUUCAACUGAUCCGUCUGCCCCCUUAUAAAGCCAUUUGCAUUUGCACGAUAUGGGUUUUCUGUCUUUUGUUCUGGGUACCAAAUCCCACGUUUCGUUUUGUUUCAGAGCACUAAUUUCUUCUUCCAUAGCUUGCCUCCACUCUUUACGCUCCGAGGCCUCCUCAUAUGUACUUGGCUCUUUCACAUCUUCAACUAGAGUAGCAUUAGCAUACUUGGGAUUGGGUUUACUUCUCCUCGUGGAUCGUCGUAGCAUUGGUGACUGAUCCCGUUCUUCUUCUUCUUCGUCUUCUAUACGCUUGCUCAAACUUUCCCUCUCCAGAGGUGAUUGUCGCACACCUCUUUUUGUUGCCAUGGGCUUUUGGCUUUUGAACGUUCCGGAGAGCAUCUGCCUUCUUCUGUAGGUUGCGUACUCUCAGUCUCCUGUUGCUCCUGUAGUUUUUUUCUUGUAACUUCUCCUCUAUUUCUUGAGAAUCUGGCAAGAGAACUUCCUGUGAUGACCACCAUGAAGAUGCUUCAUCAAAGACCACAUUUCGAGAGACGUAGCAUCGACCAGUAGUCGGAUCACAAGACCUCCACCCUUUCCGUUCAUUAUCGUAGCCCACGAAAAUGCAGCGUAUUGCCUUUUUCUCGAACUUGCUUCGUAAAUUAUUGGGAAUAAAUACAUAGCAUACGCAUCCGAAUACUCGAAAAUGGCUUACCGUGGGCCUAGUCUUCCAUAGUUUCUCAAAGGGUGAAGUGAAUCCGAGUCUUGCUUGAGGCAAUCUAUUGGUUACGUAGACUGCGGUCUUCAUGCAUUCUGCCCAUUUUAUCGGGGGCACUUUUUUAGCAUGAAGCAUACUUCUGCACGUCUCUGCCAGAUGCCGAUUUUUCCUUCAUGAAAUAAGCCCAGACGUAUCUAGAAUAAUCAUCGAUGAAGGUAAUCAUGUAGCGAUACCCACUUACCGAUGUUUGCUUUACUGGUCCUAAUACGUCUGAGUGAACUAACUGAAGCGGCACUUUUGAUUGAAAGAAUCAUCAUAAGGAAGUUGAUGUGCCUGUACGUACUGACAGCCAGCGCACACGAUGCCAUCUCGUACUUCCAGUUGAGGGAGACCUUUUAAAAAGGACUUGCUCAUCAUCACCUUGAGCUUUCCAUAACUUACGUGUCCCAAUCGUGCAUGCCACAAAUCAGCAGUUUCGUUCUUCCUCGCCUUAUCUACGUACGCUGCUUCUGCUGACAUUACAUAUACAGAUUCGAGCCGUCGACCCUCCAUGAUCGGUGCCCCAAUUGCUUUCAACUUUCUUUCAACCUUGACGUCGUUUGGCCCGAAUACUACGUAAUUCCCUGAAGCAGCAAGCUGAGAUACAGAUAGUUGGUUCUUCUUCAUCCCAGGUACAUGAUAUACGUUGUGCAGCUGUACCGGAUGAGGACUAUAACGAGGAACUAUCUCGGUCUCACCGACGUGUGUAAUUGGCAGCUUGGAAUUAUUGGCGGUCACCACCAUUCGCUUGCCUUUCUAUUCCGUUAUGCUUGAUAAUUUCUUCUCAUCUCCAGUCAUAUGAUUGGAGCAAGCAGAAUCAACAAUCCAAUCAUUUUCAUAAUUUAUUACUUUGUCAUUUACCGAGAUUAGAGUUGCCUCCUCUGGUUCUGCAAUACAUGAGGCUGCUAAUUCUUCUUCUCUGGAAUCAUCUUCUGUCAGCAUUUCAGAAUAAAUGGCAGCUGAUGCUUGAAAAUCCCAUUCUUCUUCACUGUAAUUUUUAUGACUGGAGGUGGCGGCAUUUCCUUCAGCUCUCUUGUACCAGCAGUCUCGAGCAAAAUGACCUUUCUUCCCGCCAUUAUAACACUGGUUAUUCUUCCGGCGAUUCUUCUUCUCGUCGGGCUUGUCUCGAUCUUGACAAGCUCCCCUUGCUGAGAAGUCCCUCUCUCUUGUCUUCGUUGCCAACUAUUUGGCCUCUUUGUUUUAUUUCCUUGUGGCCGAAAUUCCGUAGAACUACGACCUUUGCUAUGAGAAUCUCCCUUUUUCGUAUAGAGAGCUUUCUCGUCAUUCUUAACGGAGACUCCUGCCAUUUCUUUAUCCAACUCUUCUUGGUUGGCUAAUAUAUUCUCCAACUCAACAAUAGUUGGUUCCGUAGCCCAACCAUUAAUUGCUGUGACGAGACCAUGAAAUUCUGGCCUCAAGCCAUGAAUUAUGAUCCGCCUCAUCCUCUUAUUACCAACCGUGUACAUUCUACAUACGAGAUGCUUCCAUCAAAAAAACCGGGCCGCCGCCUGAAGCCGGAGUAAGAGUUGCCCUAAGUCCCAUGUCUCGUAAACCCGCGCGAAAUCAAUAUGGAAAGACCCGGUGGAUCGUAGCAUAUGUUCUGCGAGCAACCAAGUCAGUCAGUGGUUCGGAGAAGCGAAGUACUUGUAAGGAACAACCACCUUUCGUCGGGCAGGGCAGCCAGCCAAGAAGAAUCGUCUUUCCCUCCUAUUGACGAUAGUACAGAGAGGGGCUAAGGCAUAAAAUAUCUUAUCUUCUGUCCGAUUAACCGCAGCUUCUUCUGUUUGCUGUGAUAUCGAAUGAGCUCAAGUUGUUCAAGGCGCGACAGCUCUCGACCGAAGAGAGAGGUUCGAAGAUCUCGACUGCUAAGGAGAGGAAUGAAUGGCUAAGCGUCUGAUAACAGGGAUCAGUACAGUCAGUUUAAUGAGCAUAAGCGAUAGCAGAUAGCAGCGAUAGGGAGAGGUACAAUUCACCUAAAGCUUUGCUCGAUCCGAACCUUACUCCAACUAACAAGUAAGCAAUUUAAUACCUCUCCUUUACAGUCGAGCAAUUUCAUACCUUCGUCUGUCUGCUGGUUAGGGCAUCCG
This is a non-coding RNA of Lupinus albus (white lupine), 5613 nucleotides long. The record is from the annotation of a GenBank genome assembly. NCBI's taxonomy places the organism in Eukaryota, Viridiplantae, Streptophyta, Magnoliopsida, Fabales, Fabaceae.